UAUUUUUCUUACUGCAAUCACAAUGACUGCGAUAUGAUUGCAAAUGAUUACAAUUAAAAAAAUAAUUUGUUAGAUUGCAGAUGUUUUUAUGAUGACAACGUGAUUACAGUGAUUGCUAAAUCACUACAGUAAGGGGUGACACAACGACUGCUUAAGUGGUUAACCCCUGGGUCAUGGUGACCUCAGAUGUAGCUUCGGUUGUCUAUCUGCUGGUGCAGAAUGGCAAAUUUCACAGAAUCUUGGUACACACGGACUAAAGUGACUCCACCUCCUGUUCGGCGAGGGUUUCAACGUCGGCCUCGUGCCUACGCCAGACAAGGGGCGGUGGCGGUGUUCCAGUAACGUCGCAUUUGAUUUCAACGUUGUCGCCAACCCUGACAGAGACAUGAUUCACCUCUCGCGACUUGUCCAGGGAGACUACCGAUACGCCUGGAAGUCAAUAUGAAAUUCGGAGACCCGUCACACUAGAUUGCUCGUCACAGAUUUAUGAUAGCCCAUUACAAACCCUCGUACCUGCUCGAUGUAGGCAUCGCAUGAGCCUACUGGCGAUUAGCGGGAUAC
This is a long non-coding RNA of Neodiprion fabricii, 561 nucleotides long. RefSeq lists it as uncharacterized. The transcript is spliced from 3 exons. The record is from RefSeq and is a predicted model, not a curated record. Lineage: Eukaryota; Metazoa; Arthropoda; Insecta; Hymenoptera; Diprionidae.